RNAcentral lists this microRNA (21 nucleotides) under Mus musculus (house mouse). RNAcentral describes it as "mmu-miR-5133". The record is from miRBase by way of RNAcentral. Lineage: Eukaryota; Metazoa; Chordata; Mammalia; Rodentia; Muridae.
GCUGGAGCUGCGGCAGCGCAG